GACGAACGCUGGCGGCGUGCCUAAUACAUGCAAGUCGAACGAGAGCGACCGGUGCUUGCACUGGUCAAUCUAGUGGCGAACGGGUGAGUAACACGUGGGUAACCUGCCCAUCAGAGGGGGAUAACAUCCGGAAACGGAUGCUAAAACCGCAUAGGUCUUCGAACCGCAUGGUUUGAAGAGGAAAAGAGGCGCAAGCUUCUGCUGAUGGAUGGACCCGCGGUGCAUUAGCUAGUUGGUGAGGUAACGACUCACCAAGGCCGUGAUCCAUAGCCGACCUGAGGGGGUGAUCGGCCACAUUGGGACUGCGACACGGCCCAAACUCCUACGGGAGGCAGCAGUAGGGAAUCUUCCGCAAUGGACGCAAGUCUGACGGAGCAACGCCGCGUGAGUGAAGAAGGUUUUCGGAUCGUAAAACUCUGUUGUUAGAGAAGAACAAGUGCUAGAGUAACUGUUAGCGCCUUGACGGUAUCUAACCAGAAAGCCACGGCUAACUACGCG
RNAcentral lists this ribosomal RNA (498 nucleotides) under uncultured bacterium. RNAcentral's name for it is "partial 16S ribosomal RNA". It matches the Rfam family "Bacterial small subunit ribosomal RNA", at positions 28 to 507 of the family's 1533-position model. The record is from RNAcentral.